AAGUAGAUGCACCCUGAUACUACCCCCAGCGUUCGCGUUGGGGGUUUCUUAU
This 52-nucleotide small RNA is filed under the name Allocoleopsis franciscana PCC 7113. RNAcentral's name for it is "Microcoleus sp. PCC 7113 Nitrogen stress-induced RNA 1". It matches the Rfam family "Nitrogen stress-induced RNA 1". The record is from Rfam by way of RNAcentral. Lineage: Bacteria; Bacillati; Cyanobacteriota; Cyanophyceae; Coleofasciculales; Coleofasciculaceae.